GGCUAGUCUGAAAACAGUGAGUUAUUUUAAUCAAUUGUUUGCAGUCAGUUACCGAUUGUAGUCAUUGUUCUACUCUUUCCCUCUUCUCACUACUGCACUUGACUAGUCUUUA
This 112-nucleotide Y RNA is filed under the name Mustela putorius furo (domestic ferret). Its description in RNAcentral is "Y RNA (ENSMPUG00000020555.1)". It matches the Rfam family "Y RNA". From Rfam's summary of the family: Y RNAs are components of the Ro ribonucleoprotein particle (Ro RNP), in association with Ro60 and La proteins. The Y RNAs and Ro60 and La proteins are well conserved, but the function of the Ro RNP is not known. In humans the RNA component can be one of four small RNAs -- hY1, hY3, hY4 and hY5. Lineage: Eukaryota; Metazoa; Chordata; Mammalia; Carnivora; Mustelidae. The record is from Rfam by way of RNAcentral.